AUGCUUCUAUUUAUAGACUAGGUAGCUUCCUUGAGAAGCUUUCUUGAGAAAACUUCCUUGAGAAGCUUCUUUGAGAAAACUUCCUUGAGAAGCUAGAGCUUAGCUACACACACCCCUCUCAUAACUAAGCUCACCUCCUUGAGAAGCUUCCUUAAGAAGAUUCCUAAAGAAGCUAGAGCAUAGCUACACAUACCUCUCUAAUAGCUAAGCUCAC
This 214-nucleotide long non-coding RNA is filed under the name Glycine max (soybean). Its description in RNAcentral is "long non-coding RNA (GMAX_LNC001531)". The record is from RNAcentral. Lineage: Eukaryota; Viridiplantae; Streptophyta; Magnoliopsida; Fabales; Fabaceae.